Molecule: ribosomal RNA, 223 nt
Filed under: uncultured bacterium
Lineage: Bacteria
Description: partial 16S ribosomal RNA
Rfam family: Bacterial small subunit ribosomal RNA
Source: RNAcentral
AGCGGCAGACGGGAGAGUAACACGUGGGAACGUACCCUUCAGUUCGGAACAACCCAGGGAAACUUGGAUUAAUACCGGAUACGUCCGUAAGGAGAAAGAUUUAUCGCUGAAGGAUCGGCCCGCGUCUGAUUAGCUAGUUGGUGAGGUAACGGCUCACCAAGGCGACGAUCAGUAGCUGGUCUGAGAGGAUGAUCAGCCUCACUGGGACUGAGACACGGCCCAG